GGAGAAGUGAACAUUACAUGCGGAGAUGCCUAACAGCAAAGUGAGGUUUUGGCGUCAUGACUGAGGCAAUGCCAGAAGAACACUACCUGUUUGCACCACUGGAUUUUGCCUUCAUCCUGCAACACAAUAAACUAUCGCGAGGCACAGAUAUCACUUUAAGGACCAUCAAUGGAGGACACAAGGACUGGUGAGUGAACAAGACAAGAACUUUCUGCAGGACCAGUUUAUUUACAAUGAUAAGCACAGACAUAUCAGAACAUACAGCGCGUCUCUGGUAGCUGAGGACGAACAGACUGGCUGCAGGCAGCGCUUGUUCCCCUACAUCACACAGACUAGGUGUACAAGCAGACCUAUCACAAGAGAAUGGCGUAACCUCCUGAUUUGGUGCAGGUCCCUUUAACGUAUCACACAACCCUUACCAAGUUCUCUGGUGGCAGAAAAUAAAGACACGUACAACACAGAAUGUUCAUCUUAAAGCUUUUUUUGUUUUAUGAAGGGAACAGUUUUCACCCCCAUGGGUUCACUGUCCAUGACGCAAACUUAAAACCACUAAACAUGCAGCUGCCUCUAGGCUCGGAUAAGACUUUUUCCUAAUAUAAAUGGCUGACAUCUCUAGAGGCAAAGGCUUUUAAACUGCCCAAAACAACCUCUGAGACUUGAGAUGUAACAUUUUUCAUAUUCCAUAUACUGUACAAUUUAAAGGGGUUACCAACUCAGGCUUACAUCUUAUAAUGGCUUGGAGUACCAGUAUACGCAUUAACUCACAAUCUCUAUGAAGUUAAAGGGAACCUGUCACCGGGAUUUUGUGUAUAGAGCUGAGGACAUGGGUUGCUAGAUGGCCGCUAGCACAUCCGCA
This is a long non-coding RNA of Bufo gargarizans (Asiatic toad), 856 nucleotides long. RefSeq lists it as uncharacterized. The record is from RefSeq and is a predicted model, not a curated record. The transcript is spliced from 3 exons. NCBI's taxonomy places the organism in Eukaryota, Metazoa, Chordata, Amphibia, Anura, Bufonidae.